Molecule: ribosomal RNA, 367 nt
Filed under: Trachyaphthona latispina
Lineage: Eukaryota; Metazoa; Arthropoda; Insecta; Coleoptera; Chrysomelidae
Description: partial 16S ribosomal RNA
Source: RNAcentral
UUAAAUGGCCGCAGUAUUUUGACUGUGCUAAGGUAGCAUAAUCAUUARUUUUUUAAUUGAAAAMUAGAAUGAAGGGUUGGAUGAAAAAAUUACUGUCUCUUAUUAAAUUUAUUAAAAUUUUAUUUUUAAGUUAAAAAGCUUAAAUAUGUUUAAAAGACGAGAAGACCCUUUAGAGUUUUAUAAAUAAAUAAUUUHAAAUUUUUAGUAUUAAAUUUUUAUAAUUAUUUAUUUAUUUAAUUGGGGUGAUUAAAAAAUUUAAUAAACUUUUUUUUAAUUAAUAAUAUUAAUAAAUAAAUAUAUGAUCCAAAAUUUUUGAUUAAAAGAAAAAAUUACCUAAGGGAUAACAGCGUAAUUUUAUUGGAGAGUU